This 105-nucleotide transfer RNA is filed under the name Fidelibacterota bacterium. RNAcentral describes it as "tRNA-Arg". Lineage: Bacteria; Pseudomonadati; Fidelibacterota. The record is from RNAcentral.
GAACGUUUGGCUCAGCUGGUCAGAGCAUCGCUCCCGCGACGAGACGUGGGUCGUAGGUUCCCUGCCCGAUUGAGUUCGGUCAGGCGGGGAAUCCCACAGCGUCCA